RNAcentral lists this non-coding RNA (89 nucleotides) under Actinotalea ferrariae CF5-4. RNAcentral describes it as "Cellulomonas sp. Mn5-4 ZMP/ZTP riboswitch aptamer (pfl RNA motif)". It matches the Rfam family "ZMP/ZTP riboswitch aptamer (pfl RNA motif)". Rfam says of the family: Previously known as pfl RNA. ZMP is also known as AICAR. RNAcentral also lists the same sequence under 1 other name. Lineage: Bacteria; Bacillati; Actinomycetota; Actinomycetes; Micrococcales; Cellulomonadaceae. The record is from Rfam by way of RNAcentral.
GGCCCCGGCCGCGACUGGCGAGGGUGGAAACGACCACCGGGGAGCGACCGGCAGUGCCCUGCAGCGCACCGCCCGCCUGGGUGCCUGGG